AAAUUCUUAACCACUGGGACAAACACUUAAUUAUGACAUAUCUCAACAAAACAAGAAUUCAUAUUUUGGGGCAUUACAAUUUAUAUAUAGAAAUAUAUUAUUUAUAUAAUAAUGUAUAUUAUUUACAGGGGGGAUCCACUUACCAUAGUGUAAAACUUAAGUGAUUUUACACCUUUCUGAAACCUUUUAUACCAUUAAUAUUUUAAAAAUCCAACCGUUGAAUUUAUCAAGAUAUUUU
RNAcentral lists this long non-coding RNA (238 nucleotides) under Gossypium barbadense (sea-island cotton). Its description in RNAcentral is "long non-coding RNA (GBAR_LNC005280)". Lineage: Eukaryota; Viridiplantae; Streptophyta; Magnoliopsida; Malvales; Malvaceae. The record is from RNAcentral.